GACGAACGCUGGCGGCGUGCCUAAUACAUGCAAGUAGAACGCUGAAGAGAGGAGCUUGCUCUUCUUGGAUGAGUUGCGAACGGGUGAGUAACGCGUAGGUAACCUGCCUUGUAGCGGGGGAUAAAUAUUGGAAACGAAAGCUAAUACCGCAUAACAAUGGAUGAAACAUGUAAUUUAUUUGAAAGGGGAAAUUGCUCCACUACAAGAUGGAACUGCGUUGUAUUAGCUAGUAGGUGAGGUAAUGGCUCACCUAGGCGACGAUACAUAGCCGACCUGAGAGGGUGAUCGGCCACACUGGGACUGAGACACGGCCCAGACUCCUACGGGAGGCAGCAGUAGGGAAUCUUCCGCAAUGGGCGAAAGCCUGACGGAGCAACGCCGCGUGAGUGAUGAAGGUCUUCGGAUCGUAAAACUCUGUUAUUAGGGAAGAACAUAUGUGUAAGUAACUGUGCACAUCUUGACGGUACCUAAUCAGAAAGCCACGGCUAACUACGUG
RNAcentral lists this ribosomal RNA (496 nucleotides) under uncultured bacterium. RNAcentral's name for it is "partial 16S ribosomal RNA". It matches the Rfam family "Bacterial small subunit ribosomal RNA", at positions 28 to 507 of the family's 1533-position model. The record is from RNAcentral.